This 586-nucleotide ribosomal RNA is filed under the name uncultured bacterium. RNAcentral's name for it is "partial 16S ribosomal RNA". It matches the Rfam family "Bacterial small subunit ribosomal RNA", at positions 355 to 1375 of the family's 1533-position model. The record is from RNAcentral.
UGGGGAAUUUUUGGACAAUGGGCGAAAGCCUGAUCCAGCAAUGCCGCGUGUGUGAAGAAGGCCUUCGGGUUGUAAAGCACUUUUGUCCGGAAAGAAAUCCUUGGCUCUAAUACAGUCGGGGGAUGACGGUACCGGAAGAAUAAGCACCGGCUAACUACGUGCCAGCAGCCGCGGUAAUACGUAGGGUGCAAGCGUUAAUCGGAAUUACUGGGCGUAAAGCGUGCGCAGGCGGUUUGCUAAGACCGAUGUGAAAUCCCCGGGCUCAACCUGGGAACUGCAUUGGUGACUGGCAGGCUAGAGUAUGGCAGAGGGGGGUAGAAUUCCACGUGUAGCAGUGAAAUGCGUAGAGAUGUGGAGGAAUACCGAUGGCGAAGGCAGCCCCCUGGGCCAAUACUGACGCUCAUGCACGAAAGCGUGGGGAGCAAACAGGAUUAGAUACCCUGGUAGUCCACGCCCUAAACGAUGUCAACUAGUUGUUGGGGAUUCAUUUCCUUAGUAACGUAGCUAACGCGUGAAGUUGACCGCCUGGGGAGUACGGUCGCAAGAUUAAAACUCAAAGGAAUUGACGGGGUCAUAGCUGUUUCCU